CCUGGCCUGACCCAAUACAUGAAGAAAAACACAAAAUACUUAGACCAGGGCGUGACAGGAAACAAUGAACAGGAGAGAUGGAAAAUCGAUCAGCAACGCAACGACGAUGUGCAGGGAGGGGAGGAAGGAGUACUUUACAGCGCCUUACAUUUCUCAAAUGGAGAUCGCAGAGGCAAAGGAAAGAACACACCUAACUAGUGUGAUCCUAUGUAUUUUUUAGCAGCUGCAGUUGUAGCUGGAACAUGCUGAUGUGACAUUUCUAUAAGUUUGUAUACCUGCUGGUACAGAUAUUGUUGAUCUGGCACUGUAUUGUUGUGGUUAGAUUUUCUCCCAGAGGUGUGGACUCCAGUCACAUGAUAUUGACUCAAGUCACAAAUAAAAUAACUUGAGACUUGACU
This is a long non-coding RNA of Oncorhynchus gorbuscha (pink salmon), 398 nucleotides long. RefSeq lists it as uncharacterized. NCBI's taxonomy places the organism in Eukaryota, Metazoa, Chordata, Actinopteri, Salmoniformes, Salmonidae. The transcript has 3 exons. The record is from RefSeq and is a predicted model, not a curated record.